AUUGAACGCCGGCGGCAGGCCUAACACAUGCAAGUCGGACGGUAGCACAGAGGAGCUUGCUCCUCGGGUGACGAGUGGCGGACGGGUGAGUAAUGUCUGGGGAUCUGCCCGAUAGAGGGGGAUAACCACUGGAAACGGUGGCUAAUACCGCAUAACGUCGCAAGACCAAAGAGGGGGACCUUCGGGCCUCUCACUAUCGGAUGAACCCAGAUGGGAUUAGCUAGUAGGCGGGGUAAUGGCCCACCUAGGCGACGAUCCCUAGCUGGUCUGAGAGGAUGACCGGCCACACUGGAACUGAGACACGGUCCAGACUCCUACGGGAGGCAGCAGUGGGGAAUAUUGCACAAUGGGCGCAAGCCUGAUGCAGCCAUGCCGCGUGUAUGAAGAAGGCCUUCGGGUUGUAAAGUACUUUCAGCGGGGAGGAAGGCGAUGUGGUUAAUAACCUUGUCGAUUGACGUUACCCGCAGAAGAAGCACCGGCUAACUCCGUGCCAGCCGCCGCGGUAA
This 506-nucleotide ribosomal RNA is filed under the name uncultured bacterium. Its description in RNAcentral is "partial 16S ribosomal RNA". It matches the Rfam family "Bacterial small subunit ribosomal RNA", at positions 29 to 523 of the family's 1533-position model. The record is from RNAcentral.